RNAcentral lists this ribosomal RNA (480 nucleotides) under uncultured bacterium. RNAcentral describes it as "partial 16S ribosomal RNA". It matches the Rfam family "Bacterial small subunit ribosomal RNA", at positions 28 to 507 of the family's 1533-position model. The record is from RNAcentral.
GACGAACGCUGGCGGCGUGCUUAACACAUGCAAGUCGAACGAUGAAGAAAAGAAUCGAAGCUUCGGCAGAAAUUCAUUUCGGAUUAGUGGCAGACGGGUGAGUAACGCGUGAGCAACCUACCUCUUACAAAGGGAUAGCCUCGGGAAACCGGGAUUAAUACCAUAUAACAUUGUGACGAAGCAUUUCGAUGCAAUCAAAGCUACGGCGGUAAGAGAUGGGCUCGCGUCCCAUUAACCGGAUGGUGAGGUAACGGCUCACCAUAGUGACGAUGGGUAACCGGGCUGAGAGGGUGAACGGUCACACUGGAACUGAGACACGGUCCAGACUCGUACGGGAGGCAGAAGUGGGGAAUAUUGCACAAUGGAGGGAACGCUGAUGCAGCGACGCCGCGUGAGUGAUGAAGGUAUUCGCUGCUUAAAACUCUGUACUAUGGGAAGAAAAGGACGGUACCAUAGGAGAAAGCUCCGGCUAAAUACGUG